RNAcentral lists this small RNA (30 nucleotides) under Bombyx mori (domestic silkworm). Its description in RNAcentral is "ovarian small RNA-19227". The record is from RNAcentral. Lineage: Eukaryota; Metazoa; Arthropoda; Insecta; Lepidoptera; Bombycidae.
UAAGAUUGCCGAGGAAUCAAUAUCUCCGAC